This 379-nucleotide unclassified non-coding RNA is filed under the name uncultured Alphaproteobacteria bacterium. RNAcentral describes it as "contains 16S-23S intergenic spacer region". The record is from RNAcentral. Lineage: Bacteria; Pseudomonadati; Pseudomonadota; Alphaproteobacteria.
CCCGGCUUGUCACCGGCAGUUCCUUCAGAGUGCCCGGCCCUACCCGAUGGCGACUGAAGGCAAGGGUUGCGCUCGUUGCGGGACUUAACCCAACAUUUCACGACACGAGCUGACGACAGCCAUGCAGCACCUGUGAUGGCCCAGCCGAACUGAAGGCUCCGUCUCCGGAAGCCAUAACCACCAUGUCAAGGGCUGGUAAGGUUCUGCGCGUUGCGUCGAAUUAAACCACAUGCUCCACCGCUUGUGCGGGCCCCCGUCAAUUCCUUUGAGUUUUAACCUUGCGGCCGUACUCCCCAGGCGGUGCGCUUAACACGUUAGCUCCGACACCGAAGGGCAAGCCCCCCGACGUCUAGCGCACAUCGUUUAGGGCGUGGACUAC